CUCAGAAGAUAGGCUCUUGUGACCUUCAGAGUGGAAGCUGGAAACAGCAAAAGCAGCCAACUGCAGCUGGGGGGCACACCUGUAGACCUGGUGACAGUCUGUGCGUGCCUUGGCGUGGACGUGGGAAGGCACUUAUUUACUGCCAAGCUAAAAUUAAGAUCCCAGUUUUUACAUGUUGUUUAGGGACAGCGGCUGAUACAGAACUCUGGGUGCUUCUGCUCUCAGCUUUAAUAAGUGGGCUGGAGUGGAUGACUGCUAUCAGUUUUUUGGCACUGUAAAUGGCUGCCAUUUGAUGGGGGGCUAAAUAAAAAGUCAUGCGCUUUCCUAUGGCUGGAACCG
Molecule: long non-coding RNA, 339 nt
Filed under: Monodelphis domestica (gray short-tailed opossum)
Lineage: Eukaryota; Metazoa; Chordata; Mammalia; Didelphimorphia; Didelphidae
Description: lncRNA (ENSMODG00000048704.1)
Source: RNAcentral